GACGAACGCUGGCGGCGUGCCUAAUACAUGCAAGUCGAACGCAUUUUCUUUCACCGUAGCUUGCUACACCGAAAGAAAAUGAGUGGCGAACGGGUGAGUAACACGUGGGUAACCUGCCCAUCAGCGGGGGAUAACACUUGGAAACAGGUGCUAAUACCGCAUAAUUCCAUUUACUGCAUGGUAGAUGGAUGAAAGGCGCUUUUGCGUCACUGAUGGAUGGACCCGCGGUGCAUUAGCUAGUUGGUGGGGUAACGGCCUACCAAGGCUGCGAUGCAUAGCCGACCUGAGAGGGUGAUCGGCCACACUGGGACUGAGACACGGCCCAGACUCCUACGGGAGGCAGCAGUAGGGAAUCUUCGGCAAUGGACGCAAGUCUGAACGAGCAACGCCGCGUGAGUGAAGAAGGGUUUCGGAUCGUAAAACUCUGUUGUUAGAAAAGAACAAGGAUGAGAGUGGAAAGUUCAUCCCUUGACGGUAUCUAACCAGAAAGCCACGGCUAACUACGUG
This 507-nucleotide ribosomal RNA is filed under the name uncultured bacterium. Its description in RNAcentral is "partial 16S ribosomal RNA". It matches the Rfam family "Bacterial small subunit ribosomal RNA", at positions 28 to 507 of the family's 1533-position model. The record is from RNAcentral.